This 528-nucleotide long non-coding RNA is filed under the name Brassica napus (rape). RNAcentral describes it as "long non-coding RNA (BNAP_LNC023510)". Lineage: Eukaryota; Viridiplantae; Streptophyta; Magnoliopsida; Brassicales; Brassicaceae. The record is from RNAcentral.
AUCUGAUUCUUCUUCAAGGAGCUCCGUAAUUGAGUUGAGAACAUUCUCCAAGUGAUUUCAUGCGUAGAAGCCUCGUGGUUUGGAAGAUAUGAGUCAAACAAUGAACAUAUAUCUUUACUGCUUUCCAUGAUCAAGCCAUGCAUGCCUGUUUUGCCCGGUGCGCUACCCCACGGCACAUCAUUCCCUCCCUCUUGAAAAGGAUUUGACCUCAAAUCCAUUUCACCUCUAUCAAAAGGAAAUGAAUAAGAGAAAACGAAUUUUAAAAUCAUAUAAAAUUCAAUGAAGGAAAAGUAUGGACAGAAACUUCCUUGGAGUUUUGGACUUGUUUUCCUCAAGUACUUCCAGUUCCAUGUCCCUGAUACAUAAGAACUUUGGCGUUCACCAGUGUUUUCUCUCCUUGGGAACUGAUCAUACUUAUCCUGUACUUUCAAAACAACUAGGGAAACCACAUCAAAUCUGCGAGAGAAAUAAUCAAAGAGUUUCUCUAUCCUUAGGACAUCAAGAACAUGAUCCAAGCUCUUAGGAUAA